Molecule: ribosomal RNA, 1016 nt
Filed under: uncultured bacterium
Lineage: Bacteria
Description: bacterial SSU rRNA
Rfam family: Bacterial small subunit ribosomal RNA
Source: RNAcentral
AGGAAUAUUGGUCAAUGGACGAGAGUCUGAACCAGCCAAGUAGCGUGAAGGAUGACUGCCCUAUGGGUUGUAAACUUCUUUUAUAUGGGAAUAAAGUGAGCCACGUGUGGCUUUUUGUAUGUACCAUACGAAUAAGGAUCGGCUAACUCCGUGCCAGCAGCCGCGGUAAUACGGAGGAUCCGAGCGUUAUCCGGAUUUAUUGGGUUUAAAGGGAGCGUAGGCGGACUAUUAAGUCAGCUGUGAAAGUUUGCGGCUCAACCGUAAAAUUGCAGUUGAUACUGGUCGUCUUGAGUGCAACAGAGGUAGGCGGAAUUCGUGGUGUAGCGGUGAAAUGCUUAGAUAUCACGAAGAACUCCGAUUGCGAAGGCAGCUUACUGGACUGUAACUGACGCUGAUGCUCGAAAGUGUGGGUAUCAAACAGGAUUAGAUACCCUGGUAGUCCACACAGUAAACGAUGAAUACUCGCUGUUUGCGAUAUACAGCAAGCGGCCAAGCGAAAGCAUUAAGUAUUCCACCUGGGGAGUACGCCGGCAACGGUGAAACUCAAAGGAAUUGACGGGGGCCCGCACAAGCGGAGGAACAUGUGGUUUAAUUCGAUGAUACGCGAGGAACCUUACCCGGGCUUAAAUUGCAAAUGAAUAUAGUGGAAACAUUAUAGCCGCAAGGCAUUUGUGAAGGUGCUGCAUGGUUGUCGUCAGCUCGUGCCGUGAGGUGUCGGCUUAAGUGCCAUAACGAGCGCAACCCUUAUCUUUAGUUACUAACAGGUCAUGCUGAGGACUCUAGAGAGACUGCCGUCGUAAGAUGUGAGGAAGGUGGGGAUGACGUCAAAUCAGCACGGCCCUUACGUCCGGGGCUACACACGUGUUACAAUGGGGGGUACAGAAGGCAGCUACACAGCGAUGUGAUGCUAAUCCCAAAAGCCUCUCUCAGUUCGGAUUGGAGUCUGCAACCCGACUCCAUGAAGCUGGAUUCGCUAGUAAUCGCGCAUCAGCCACGGCGCGGUGAAUACGUUCCCG